AGAGUUUGAUCCUGGCUCAGGACGAACGCUGGCGGCACGCUUAACACAUGCAAGUCGAACGAGAGAAGAGAAGCUUGCUUUUCUGAUCUAGUGGCGGACGGGUGAGUAACACGUGAGCAAUCUGCCUUUCAGAGGGGGAUACCGAUUGGAAACGAUCGUUAAUACCGCAUAAUAUAAUUGAACCGCAUGAUUUGAUUAUCAAAGAUUUAUCGCUGAAAGAUGAGCUCGCGUCUGAUUAGCUAGUUGGUAAGGUAACGGCUUACCAAGGCGACGAUCAGUAGCCGGACUGAGAGGUUGAUCGGCCACAUUGGGACUGAGACACGGCCCAGACUCCUACGGGAGGCAGCAGUGGGGAAUAUUGCACAAUGGAGGAAACUCUGAUGCAGCGAUGCCGCGUGAGGGAAGAAGGUUUUAGGAUUGUAAACCUCUGUCUUCAGGGACGAAAAAUGACGGUACCUGAGGAGGAAGCUCCGGCUAACUACGUGCCAGCAGCCGCGGUAAUUC
This 504-nucleotide ribosomal RNA is filed under the name uncultured bacterium. RNAcentral describes it as "bacterial SSU rRNA". It matches the Rfam family "Bacterial small subunit ribosomal RNA", at positions 8 to 526 of the family's 1533-position model. The record is from RNAcentral.